RNAcentral lists this long non-coding RNA (363 nucleotides) under Gallus gallus (chicken). Lineage: Eukaryota; Metazoa; Chordata; Aves; Galliformes; Phasianidae. The record is from RNAcentral.
GGGCUUGUGGCUUCCCAAAAGGCUUAAGGCCACUUUAAAUAUAGCCUCUGAUCCUUGAAGGAAAAGCAUAUCAAAUACUCUUGCGACAAAUCCCAGGGGAAACUGUGAGGCAAACAUGGUGAGAAACCAGGGAGCAGCAUAGAGGCUGGGGCCAAUCUCAUGUUCCUCAAGGUGGUUAUAGAGGUCUCGAUGGUAGUCAUGAAGAAGUCGGGACAGUUGAUACAUCUGGAUCUGUAGAAUUGUCAUGUCAGGACGAUACUGUUUUCUUAGCCCCACAUCGAACAUGAGAAACUUCAGCAUUUUAAAAGCAUCUUCUUCACUCAUAUGAAGUAGUAGAACUCCUGCUACAAAACUAAGUCCCUG